GAUGAACGCUGGCGGCGUGCCUAAUACAUGCAAGUAGAACGCUGAAGGAGGAGCUUGCUCUUCUGGAUGAGUUGCGAACGGGUGAGUAACGCGUAGGUAACCUGCCUUGUAGCGGGGGAUAACUAUUGGAAACGAUAGCUAAUACCGCAUGACAACAGUUAUUGCAUGAUAACUGUUUAAAAGGUGCAACUGCUCCACUACCAGAUGGACCUGCGUUGUAUUAGCUAGUUGGUGAGGUAACGGCUCACCAAGGCGACGAUACAUAGCCGACCUGAGAGGGGGGUCGGCCACACUGGGACUGUGACACGGCCCAGACGCCUACGGGAGGCAGCAGUAGGGAAACUUCGGCAAUGGGCGGAAGACUGACCGAGCAACGCCGAGGGAGUGAAGAAGGUUGUCGGAUCGUAAAGCUCGGUUGUAAGAGAAGAACGAGUGUGAGAGUGGAAAGUUCACACUGUGACGGUAUCUGACCAGAAAGAGACGGCUAACUACGUG
Molecule: ribosomal RNA, 495 nt
Filed under: uncultured bacterium
Lineage: Bacteria
Description: partial 16S ribosomal RNA
Rfam family: Bacterial small subunit ribosomal RNA
Source: RNAcentral